RNAcentral lists this unclassified non-coding RNA (332 nucleotides) under soil metagenome. Its description in RNAcentral is "partial contains 5.8S ribosomal RNA, internal transcribed spacer 2, and large subunit ribosomal RNA". The stretch from base 1 to 120 matches the Rfam family "5.8S ribosomal RNA", at positions 35 to 154 of the family's 154-position model. The record is from RNAcentral.
GAUAAAGAACGCAGCAAAAUGCGAUAAGUAAUGUGAAUUGCAGAAUUCAGUGAAUCAUCGAAUCUUUGAACGCACAUUGCGCCCGCCAGUAUUCUGGCGGGCAUGCCUGUUCGAGCGUCAUUUCAACCCUCAAGCACAGCUUGGUGUUGGGACUCGCGUUAAUUCGCGUUCCCCAAAUUGAUUGGCGGUCACGUCGAGCUUCCAUAGCGUAGUAGUAAAACCCUCGUUACUGGUAAUCGUCGCGGCCACGCCGUUAAACCCCAACUUCUGAAUGUUGACCUCGGAUCAGGUAGGAAUACCCGCUGAACUUAAGCAUAUCAAUAAGCGGAGGA